Molecule: ribosomal RNA, 497 nt
Filed under: uncultured bacterium
Lineage: Bacteria
Description: partial 16S ribosomal RNA
Rfam family: Bacterial small subunit ribosomal RNA
Source: RNAcentral
GAUGAACGCUGGCGGCGUGCCUAAUACAUGCAAGUCGAGCGAACGGACGAGAGGCUUGCUUUUCUGAUGUUAGCGGCGGACGGGUGAGUAACACGUGGAUAACCUACCUAUAAGACUGGGAUAACUUCGGGAAACCGGAGCUAAUACCGGAUAAUAUUUUGAACCGCAUGGUUCAAAAGUGAAAGACGGUCUUGCUGUCACUUAUAGAUGGAUCCGCGCUGCAUUAGCUAGUUGGUAAGGUAACGGCUUACCAAGGCAACGAUGCAUAGCCGACCUGAGAGGGUGAUCGGCCACACUGGAACUGAGACACGGUCCAGACUCCUACGGGAGGCAGCAGUAGGGAAUCUUCGACAAUGGGCGAAAGCCUGACGGAGCAACGCCGCGUGAGUGAUGAAGGUCUUCGGAUCGUAAAGCUCUGUUAUUAGGGAAGAACAUAUGUGUAAGUAACUGUGCACAUCUUGACGGUACCUAAUCAGAAAGCCACGGCUAACUACGUG